UUUGGCAUUUGCACACCUGAUGGACAUGGUGGAGGCAGGAGUGGAGGCAGGCGGGCUGAACCAGGGAGAGAUUCCAGAAGGAGCGGAGAAGCUGCUGCUU
Long non-coding RNA from Sapajus apella (tufted capuchin), 100 nucleotides. RefSeq lists it as uncharacterized. The record is from RefSeq and is a predicted model, not a curated record. Lineage: Eukaryota; Metazoa; Chordata; Mammalia; Primates; Cebidae. The transcript is spliced from 3 exons.